Molecule: ribosomal RNA, 888 nt
Filed under: uncultured archaeon
Lineage: Archaea
Description: bacterial SSU rRNA
Rfam family: Archaeal small subunit ribosomal RNA
Source: RNAcentral
CGGUUGAUCCUGCCGGACCCGACUGCUAUUUGGGUGAGGAUAAACCAUGCGAGUUGAAUGGGAUACCUAAAUUUCCCAUGGCAAACUGCUCAGUAACACAUGAUCAACUUACCCUAUAGAGAAAAAUAACCUCAGGAAACUGAGGAUAAUGUUUCAUAGUUGAAUAGGCUUGGAAAAGUUAUUCAACAAAAGGGAUAAAAACAUGGUUUUUAUCCGCUAUAGGAUAGGAUCGUGUUCGAUUAUGGUUGUUGGUGAGGUAACGGCUCACCAAGCCGAUAAUCGAUAGGGGCCGUGAGAGCGGGAGCCCCGAGAUGGGUACUGAGACAACGACCCAGGCCUUACGAGGCGCAGCAGGCGCGAAACCUCCACAAUACACGAAAGUGUGAUGGGGUUACCCAAAGUGUUCAAUUCUGAACUGUGGUAGGUGAGUAAUGUUCCCUACUAGAAAGGAGAGGGCAAGGCUGGUGCCAGCCGCCGCGGUAAAACCAGCUCUUCAAGUGGUCGGGAUAAUUAUUGGGCUUAAAGUGUCCGUAGCCGGUUUAGUAAGUUCCUGGUAAAAUCGGGUAGCUUAACUAUCCGUGUGCUAGGAAUACUGCUAUACUAGAGGGCGGGAGAGGUCUGAGGUACUACAGGGGUAGGGGUGAAAUCUUAUAAUCCUUGUAGGACCACCAGUGGCGAAGGCGUCAGACUGGAACGCGCCUGACGGUGAGGGACGAAAGCCAGGGGAGCGAACCGGAUUAGAUACCCGGGUAGUCCUGGCUGUAAACGAUGCAUACUAGGUGAUGGUACGGCCAUGAGCCGUAUCAGUGCCGUAGGGAAACCGUUAAGUGUGCCGCCUGGGAAGUACGGUCGCAAGGCUAAAACUUAAAGGAAUUGGCGGGGGAGCAC